Molecule: ribosomal RNA, 464 nt
Filed under: uncultured bacterium
Lineage: Bacteria
Description: partial 16S ribosomal RNA
Rfam family: Bacterial small subunit ribosomal RNA
Source: RNAcentral
GACGAACGCUGGCGGCGUGCUUAACACAUGCAAGUCGAACGGAAAGGCCCUGCUUGCAGGGUACUCGAGUGGCGAACGGGUGAGUAACACGUGGGUGAUCUGCCCUGCACUUCGGGAUAAGCCUGGGAAACUGGGUCUAAUACCGGAUAGGAGCCAUUUUUAGUGUGAUGGUUGGAAAGUUUUUUCGGUGUAGGAUGAGCUCGCGGCCUAUCAGCUUGUUGGUGGGGUAAUGGCCUACCAAGGCGGCGACGGGUAGCCGGCCUGAGAGGGUGGACGGCCACAUUGGGACUGAGAUACGGCCCAGACUCCUACGGGAGGCAGCAGUGGGGAAUAUUGCACAAUGGGCGCAAGCCUGAUGCAGCGACGCCGCAUGGGGGAUGACGGCCUUCGGGUUGUAAACUCCUUUCGCUAGGGACGAAGCUUUUGUGACGGUACCUAGAUAAGAAGCACCGGCUAACUACGUG